This is a long non-coding RNA of Chinchilla lanigera (long-tailed chinchilla), 1341 nucleotides long. RefSeq lists it as uncharacterized. The transcript is spliced from 3 exons. The record is from RefSeq and is a predicted model, not a curated record. NCBI's taxonomy places the organism in Eukaryota, Metazoa, Chordata, Mammalia, Rodentia, Chinchillidae.
ACAAUAGGCCUAUAUUAAAUAUGUAGAAUAUAGAAUGACAUCAAAACAUUUAUAUGCAAAGAACAGGUUAAUAUAUAUACUAAUUUAUAUAUAUACACACACACACACACACACACUAAUUUUAAGUCUGUAUUUUACUCAGCCUGUGGAUUCUUGGGCUAAAUUUGGCAACUUUCCAGCCCAGACAGCAAGUAUGAAUCAUUUUUGCUAGUAUUCAUUUAAGUCAAGAAUUUGAGAUAAAUAAUUCUGUGGAAAGACAAACUUGGAAUAAGAAUUCAUUCAUGGGAUGAAUUCACUCUUUAAGGUAACUGCCAAAAUCAGGACACAGUUCUCAUCUGCCUGAAUCUUUCUGAAUUUGGUUGUGAUUUUAGAGAAAUGCUGGUAGCAGAUGUUACCCUCAUAGUAAAUAGAAGCAAAAGUAGAUCUUACCCCUAAGGAUGCAUUGUAUUACUUCUGUCCCCCAAAAUAUUCUGAUUCUUUCAUAUAACAAAUCUAUUACUACUAAACUUUGUAUUAAUGUUUUUUAUAAAUACCUUUAAAUACAAAUACAAAAUGCUUUUGAACUCUGUUACUUUUUAAAAAGGAAAAUAAUGCCUACUUCAAUUUAUACUAAGUCUAAUUCGAACAGAUCCCAUCCAUCUUUCUAUAUGAGAAUAAUCUGGGGAGUAUUUAAAGUGCUGAGUUUUGCACCCUCUCUAUCCUUUGAGGUUCCCUCUGAUUUUCAAGUUUUGAAGAAGGAUCAAGCUCCUCAAUUAAUCCUGAGGGAGGAAGGUUUGUUGAGGAGGGAGCCCCACCAGAUAGCCACUGUUUAUGAACUCCUCAGAGACCUACAAGCCGGCUACCUGGUAGCUUUGUUGGAAUAUACUGGGCCACCACACCUACACCAUCGCUGUUUCUACUCCAAACCAGCUAUAGAUCAAUGAAUAUUUGAAGCAUUUGCACUGAAAUGAGUAUCUGAAGACACAGAGAGCAAAGAAGGUACAGCAAUCCUAACAUUGUGUUGUCUACGGGAAAUUUCACAGUUCCAACAAUGGAUCUGCAGGCAUAUUUUGACCUUUACUUUAUGCAGUGAGUAAAGUACAUAAUUAUCAGAACUGUAGAUGGGUAAGUGGAGACUCAAAGCAUCUAAGGACUGUCCAGGGUCACAGGACUGAGGAUCACUGGCCUGGACCACAUGACACUGUCACCAUCACAUCUCUCAAUGUAUUACAGGAAAUGCACCACGCUCUUUUCCCCUGUAGCUGUCAUUUGCUAUAGGUGGGGUCAUUUUUAGGUUAUUUAAAACUGGCCUUGCCGGUAUGUGCUUGGCCCUCUGGGCUGCUUCCUGGGAAUCACAUUUGG